Molecule: transfer RNA, 66 nt
Filed under: Gastraspis sp. ZJUH_2016016
Lineage: Eukaryota; Metazoa; Arthropoda; Insecta; Hymenoptera; Figitidae
Description: tRNA-Ile
Source: RNAcentral
AAUAGUAUGCCUGAAAAAGGAUUAUUAUGAUGUAAUAAAUUAUGUAAAAAUAUUUUACUACUAUUA